RNAcentral lists this ribosomal RNA (681 nucleotides) under Triticum aestivum (bread wheat). RNAcentral's name for it is "partial small subunit ribosomal RNA". Lineage: Eukaryota; Viridiplantae; Streptophyta; Magnoliopsida; Poales; Poaceae. The record is from RNAcentral.
AUGUGUAGAUAUCCAGCGCGGACAGUGAGUAUGGAGGAGACAAUGGGAAGCUCAGAGUCUCUGUUGUACGAUUUGAGCACUCUAAGGGCUGCCAUUGACAACUUCUCUGAAGAAAAUAAGCUCGGGGAAGGCGGGUUCGGGCCGGUCUACAAAGGCAUUCUGCGGGAUGGGCAGGAGAUCGCGGUGAAGAGGCUGUCGAAGAACUCCAAGCAAGGGCUCGUGGAGAUGAGGAACGAGGUUGUGCUGGUGGCCAAGCUUCAGCACAAGAAUCUGGUGCGCUUGCUCGGCUGCUGCAUCCAAGAGGAGGAGAUGCUCCUCGUCUACGAGUUCCUCUUCAACAGAAGCCUCGACAAGAUUCUAUUCGAUCCUGCGAGGCAGCAAGAGCUUACCUGGGGGCACAGGUUCAGGAUCAUCCAGGGGAUCGGGCGAGGCCUUCUUUACCUCCACGAAGAUUCGAGGCAGGACUGGGACGUGCAUAGCUCAGUUCAGUUCGAGGGGUUCGGACUGAGGAGUGGCACUGUCAUCUUAUACGUGGGUAGAGUUGGGCUCAUUCGGCUCAACCUUGCCACAAAAGAGGCAGUUGUCGUCUACCACCGCAGCGAUACGGCCUACAUCUCGCAGGUUUGCCUGCACGAGAUGGAUUUGUCCUCUCUGCUCCAGACCAUGAAACCUCUGAGCUAA